RNAcentral lists this long non-coding RNA (312 nucleotides) under Mytilus galloprovincialis (Mediterranean mussel). Lineage: Eukaryota; Metazoa; Mollusca; Bivalvia; Mytilida; Mytilidae. The record is from RNAcentral.
UCCCCUCUAAAACAAUAAUGAGUGAUUCUAUGAUAAUGAGCAAAAAAAUCCUAAAAGUGGCUUCUGUUUACAUUGAAAACUUGUUUAAUUGCGUUCUUAUUGAACAGAAAGUGUCGUUAUCGUCCUGCUCCUUAAAUUCGCCUUUUCAGAAUGUAAUGCAUUCUGGGAUAUAUUUUUAAAAAGCGUUACCAAACCGUUUUCAUUGGUUAAAAACAUCUAAAAGCAUAAGAAAUUUAACCAAUGAAACGAAGUUAUUUCCAUUUUAGAGUACAAACAAUGAAAUAACCCAAAGCGUUUAAAUUUUUAAACAGG